CUACGGGCGGCUGCAGUGAGGAAUAUUGGGCAAUGGGCGAAAGCCUGACCCAGCCAUGCCGCGUGAAGGAUGACUGCCCUAUGGGUUGUAAACUUCUUUUGUAAGGGAAGAAUGAUUCCUACGUGUAGGAAUGUGACGGUACCUUAUGAAUAAGCACCGGCUAACUCCGUGCCAGCAGCCGCGGUAAUACGGAGGGUGCAAGCGUUAUCUGGAUUUAUUGGGUUUAAAGGGUGCGUAGGCGGAAUUUUAAGUCAGUGGUGAAAUCCUGCAGCUCAACUGUAGAACUGCCAUUGAUACUGAUCUUCUUGAAUUUAGUUGAGGUGGGCGGAACGUGUAAUGUAGCGGUGAAAUGCUUAGAUAUUACACAGAACACCGAUUGCGAAGGCAGCUCACUAAACUAACAUUGACGCUGAGGCACGAAAGCGUGGGUAGCGAACAGGAUUAGAUACCCUCGUAGUC
This 459-nucleotide ribosomal RNA is filed under the name uncultured bacterium. RNAcentral's name for it is "partial 16S ribosomal RNA". It matches the Rfam family "Bacterial small subunit ribosomal RNA", at positions 339 to 795 of the family's 1533-position model. The record is from RNAcentral.